ACGAACGCUGGCGGCAUGCCUAACACAUGCAAGUCGAACGAGACCUUCGGGUCUAGUGGCGCACGGGUGCGUAACGCGUGGGAACCUGCCUUUAGGUUCGGAAUAACUCCCCGAAAGGGGUGCUAAUACCGAAUAAUGUCUUCGGACCAAAGAUUUAUCGCCUUUAGAUGGGCCCGCGUUGGAUUAGCUAGUUGGUGGGGUAAAGGCCUACCAAGGCGACGAUCCAUAGCUGGUCUUAGAGGAUGAUCAGCCACACUGGGACUGAGACACGGCCCAGACUCCUACGGGAGGCAGCAGUGGGGAAUAUUGGACAAUGGGCGCAAGCCUGAUCCAGCCAUGCCGCGUGGAUGAUGAAGGCCUUAGGGUUGUAAAGUCCUUUUAACGGGGAAGAUAAUGACGGUACCCGUAGAAUAAGCCCCGGCUAACUUCGU
RNAcentral lists this ribosomal RNA (431 nucleotides) under uncultured bacterium. Its description in RNAcentral is "bacterial SSU rRNA". It matches the Rfam family "Bacterial small subunit ribosomal RNA", at positions 29 to 506 of the family's 1533-position model. The record is from RNAcentral.